This 69-nucleotide transfer RNA is filed under the name Trimma caesiura (Caesiura dwarfgoby). Its description in RNAcentral is "tRNA-Arg". The record is from RNAcentral. Lineage: Eukaryota; Metazoa; Chordata; Actinopteri; Gobiiformes; Gobiidae. RNAcentral also lists the same sequence under 1 other name.
AGGUAGCUAUUUUAAUUAAAAUACUUGGUUUCGGCCCAAGAGACCUCAGUGAAACCCCGAGGCAACCUC